UUCACUGUGACCCGUGCCCUGCAGGUGUACCCGUCAGCUCCGCGGCCGGAGCUCCAGCAGCCCGCGCUUUGACUCGUUCUGCAUUUUUUGCAAGAAAGCGUACUUACGACCAACCGAACUGGUUUGGAGUCGGGCUGGCUUUCACCACCAGUGCUGCCCUGUGGGCUUUUCUUUUCAAGCAGCAUAAUGAAGAUGUAAUGGAAUAUGAAAGAAGAAAACAAGAGAGGCACCAUAAGUGUACAGGUUGUUCAUAGUUGACCAAAUGUUUGAUGAGAAAUACCGUCCUGUGAAUUAAGGAGUACGGCGGACCUAUCUGAAAGUAUUUAAACCUUAUCUGUUCAUACAUUUCACAUGCAAGCCUAUGAAAUAAAGUGUGAAAGAAGCUUCUGAAGACUUCUCUUGCCGUUUGUAUUUUAUCCCACCGGCUUUCGUAAAUUGUUUUCUGAUUGCAUUUACGUAUUUCAUAGUUCUGAAAGUAAUGUUGAUAAAGUGCACGGUUUUCUGGAAUGUGUAUUACAAAGUCGAGCAUCAGUUAAGAGACAGCCCAGGAGGCAGCUGGAAAGGAGCU
RNAcentral lists this long non-coding RNA (568 nucleotides) under Gallus gallus (chicken). Its description in RNAcentral is "long non-coding RNA NONGGAT006828". The record is from RNAcentral. Lineage: Eukaryota; Metazoa; Chordata; Aves; Galliformes; Phasianidae.